GCACGGGACAAUCCUGGUGGCGAGUGGCGAACCGGUGAUUCAUCCUUCCUAACGUGCCCAGACGGGCGGUAUAACCCAACAUAAGCUGCCGCUAUACCGCUUGCCAGCUAUGGAUGAAAGCGGGGGACUCGCUCGAUCCUCGCGCGAUUGGAGCGCCCUAUAUCAGAUUAUCUUGUUGGUGGGGAACAAGCCCACCAUGGCGACGAUCAUAGCUGACUGGUCUGACACGCACCACCGGCCACUCUGAUAACUGAGCACACUCCCACACUCCUACGGGAGGCAGCAUAUGUGGAAUUUGUGAACCAUGUCCGACCCCCUGAUCCCGCGAUGCCGAGUGCAGGAUGAAGGCCUUCGGGUUGCAUACUGCUUUUGUGCAGAACAACUCGCCUCUUUCUUUUACAGAGCGCUAAUGACGGUCCCGUAAUAAUUCCCACCCGCUAACUACGUGCCUACAGCCGCGGCAAUACUUAUGCUGCUAGCUUGAAUCGAAAUUACUGGGCGUCAAGCUAUGCGCAUCCGGUUAUAUAAAACAGAUGUCAAAUCCCGCGGGCUCAACCUGGAACCUGACACUGUGACUGUAUAGCUAGAGCACGGUAGAGGGGGAUGGAAUUCCACGGGUAGCAUUGAAAUCCGAACAUCUGCUGAGGAACACCGAUGGUAAAUCGCAUCCCCUGGACCUGUACUGACGCUCAUGCACGAAAGCGGGUAGAGCACACAGGAUUACCACCCCUGGAACUCCACUCCCUAACCGAUGUCUACCGGUUCUUGGGUCUUCACUGACUCAUUAACUAUCCUCACGCGUGAAACUCCCCGCCUGGGGAGUCCCGCCGCAAGGGUCAGACUCCCACGCAUUGACGGGAACCCGCGCAAUCGGUCGAUGAUGCGGUUUAA
RNAcentral lists this ribosomal RNA (891 nucleotides) under uncultured bacterium. RNAcentral's name for it is "bacterial SSU rRNA". It matches the Rfam family "Bacterial small subunit ribosomal RNA", at positions 72 to 949 of the family's 1533-position model. The record is from RNAcentral.